CAACCCUCAAGCAACGCUUGGUAUUGGGCCCCGCUGCUCACCUAGCGGGCCUUAAAAUCAGUGGCGGUGCCGUCGGGCCCUGAGCGCAGUAAAUAUCCUCGCUACAGGGACUCGGUGGACGCUGGCCAUCAACCCAGACUCCUAA
RNAcentral lists this unclassified non-coding RNA (145 nucleotides) under uncultured Helotiales. RNAcentral describes it as "sequence contains ITS2". The record is from RNAcentral. Lineage: Eukaryota; Fungi; Ascomycota; Leotiomycetes; Helotiales.